This 417-nucleotide ribosomal RNA is filed under the name uncultured Anoxybacillus sp. RNAcentral describes it as "bacterial SSU rRNA". It matches the Rfam family "Bacterial small subunit ribosomal RNA", at positions 967 to 1382 of the family's 1533-position model. The record is from RNAcentral. Lineage: Bacteria; Bacillati; Bacillota; Bacilli; Caryophanales; Anoxybacillaceae.
AACCUUACCAGGUCUUGACAUCCCCUGACUAACCCGAGAGAUCGGCGUUCCCUUCGGGGGACAGGGUGACGAGGUGGUGCAUGGUUGUCGUCAGCUCGUGUCGUGAGAUGUUGGGUUAAGUCCCGCAACGAGCGCAACCCUCGACCUUAGUUGCCAGCAUUCAGUUGGGCACUCUAAGGUGACUGCCGGCUAAAAGUCGGAGGAAGGUGGGAUGACGUCAAAUCAUCAUGCCCCUUAUGACCUGGGCUACACACGUGCUACAAUGGUUGGUACAACGAGUUGCGAGUCGGUGACGGCGACGCUAAUCUCUUAAAGCCAAUCUCAGUUCGGAUUGUAGGCUGCAACUCGACCCCAUGAAGUCGGAGUCGCUAGUAAUCGCAGAUCAGCAACGCUGCGGUGAAUACGUUCCCGGGCCUU